This 72-nucleotide transfer RNA is filed under the name Ovis aries (sheep). It matches the Rfam family "tRNA". From Rfam's summary of the family: Transfer RNA (tRNA) molecules are approximately 80 nucleotides in length. Their secondary structure includes four short double-helical elements and three loops (D, anti-codon, and T loops). The record is from Rfam by way of RNAcentral. Lineage: Eukaryota; Metazoa; Chordata; Mammalia; Artiodactyla; Bovidae.
UCCCUUCUAGCUCAGAUGAUAAAGAAUCUUCCUGUAAAGCAGGAGACCCAGGUUCAAUUCCUGGGUCAGGAA